This 665-nucleotide ribosomal RNA is filed under the name uncultured Actinobacteridae bacterium. RNAcentral describes it as "bacterial SSU rRNA". It matches the Rfam family "Bacterial small subunit ribosomal RNA", at positions 28 to 720 of the family's 1533-position model. Lineage: Bacteria; Bacillati; Actinomycetota; Actinomycetes. The record is from RNAcentral.
GACGAACGCUGGCGGUGUGCCUUAGGCAUGCAAGUCGAACGGUUCCGAGUCGCAAGAUUCGGGAUAGUGGCAGACGGGUGAGUAUAAGGUAGGAAUCUACCUCUUGGUGGGGAAUAAUCCGGCGAAAGCUGGACUAAUACCGCAUAACUUUGCAAGAAAAAAGAGCUUAACUGCUCGCCGAGAGAUGAGCCUGCCCGCUAUCAGCUUGUUGGUAAGGUAAUGGCUUACCAAGGCUAUGACGGCUAGGGGGCGUGAGAGCGUGGCCCCCCACAAGAACACUGAGACACGGGUUCUACACCUACGGGUGGCAGCAACCGGGAAUUUUGCGCAAUGGACGAAAGUCUGACGCAGCAACACCGCGUGCGGGAUGAAGGCCUUCGGGUCGUAAACCGCUGUGGAAGGAGAGCAAGCUCUGAGAGUAUCCUUCUAGAAAGCACCUGCUAACUACGUGCCAGAAGCCUCGGUAAUACGUAGGGUGCAAGCGUUGUCCGGAAUUAUUGGGCGUAAAGAGUAUCGUAGGCGGCCAGUUAAGUGGCGGGUUAAAGCCUGGAGCUCAACUCCAGAGAUGCUCGUCAAACUAAUUGGCUAGAGGAAGUUCGGGAGUGCUGGAAUUCUCGGUGGAGGUGUGAAAUCCGUUGAUAUCGAGAAGAACACCAAAGGCGAAA